GGAUAAAAGAGGAAGGAAAGAGAUAGAACAUGAAGGUACCUUUGCUGGAGAAGGGGAGAAGAAUUCAGCAAUGACAAUCUAUGAACCUCCUCACUGCCCCAGAACUUGGACUCAAGAUUACAUCUAGAGUAUCAGCACUGGCCAUCCAUCUCCCAUGACUAGAAUAUACUCCAUCUUUAUCAGCUGAAAUUCUCAUCUUACUUUAAGUUCCAUUCAGAUGGUGUAGUGAAGAAUCCUAGACUUAGUGUCAGUAGACCUAGGUUCCAAUCCAAUCCAGGUUCUGAGACUUACUAACCAUGGUUCCAGGCUUCAUAUAUGGGAAGAAAAAGGACAACACGAUUACAAAGACCAGGAGUCACACUUGGUUAGAGAAGCUAGCCAGAACCCAGGGUAUCUGCUCAUCUGAGGUUAGUCAUCCACAGAAAACCUGUGCAGAAACAAGAGGAGAACCUGAGAAAUGCUGACUGGAAAGAUGCAAGGGCCACCUGGAUGCCUAUAGCAUGAACCAACCUGAGAGGUGGGUAAAAACACAUGUCCUAGGGAGCUAUUGAAAAACUCAUUGAAAUGGUGUGAUAGCAAAAUGCAAAUGGGUCCUUUGGGGGUCUAGAGAAAAAUAAGAAGGGCACUGUAUAGAACAGAGAGUGCCCAAUCCAAGGCACAAGAACAUCCUGGUUCACUGACAUGAUUUGCCAUUGCUGAAGGAUGUGCUCAAAUAAUCAGGGCUUAAUGGCAUCAUGCUUAAAAUAAUCCAACUCCCACAGCUUAGACUCAGCAUUUACUAGUUUUAUGAGUCUUUUGCCUCCUUUCCCCCUAUUAGAUUCUCCCUGGUAUCUUGGGAUCAAACUUACCCAUGUAAAUGAUUUAUUCCCCUUACUCCUCCUUAGUAAUCAGUAAACACCUAGAAGGCAGGCACAAUUUUAUUUUUACUUUGGUGUGAACAAAGUUCACUUCUAUACCUUACUUGCAAUGGGCACUUAAAUGUGGCUGACCUGAAUUGAGAACCUUCCCACCAUAUUAUCUCCGUCUUCUAAAACACAGUAACUUCACUGGCAUAUCUGCCUCCAGAAUUUCUCUGUCUUAAUAUUCUUUAUGAUAAUACAUGUAUAACCCAGAUCAAAUUGGCUGCCAGCAUCAGGAGGAGGAGGAACAAAAGGGAAAGAGGGAGAUAAGAUCAAUCAUAUAACUUAAGAAAACUUGUGUGGAAAUCUGUUGUUACUAAUUAGUAAAAAAAAUAGUGAAUUAAUAUGCAUUAGGCCAGUGUUGGCAAAUCUUUUAGAGAUCCUGUGCCCAAACUGUACCUUUAAACCACCUGUGAGCCCCUCACAUUAUUGCAAAGAGUGUGGAAGGAGGAAGUCCUUGUACUGAUCUGUUGGACAGAGGGACAGAACAUGUGAAAAUUGUCCUCAGGUGUGGUGGAGAGGGAGAACAGAGCAGCCCCCUCCAGCACACCAGGGCAUGUGUGCCACAUCUUUGCCAACACAGCUUUAAGAUAAGAUUAGGUAUGUUAAUUAGGCAUUAAAUCUUUACAAAUAUAGAUUAUAAUAACUUGUCUCAAAUAGCAGAGGAGGGGAAACAAUUGGCACUUAAAAAAAACCCCUAACUUUCUCUUAGUAUCAUUUUUUUGUUUAAACCCUUACCUUCCAUCUUAGAAUCAAUACUGUGUGUUGGUUCUAAGGCAGAAGAGUGGUAAGAGCUAGGCAAUGGGGAUCAAGUGACUUACCCAGGAUUAAUGUCUGAGGCCAGAUUUGGACCCAGGACCUCCCAUCUCUAGGCCUGGCUCUCAAUCUACUGAGCCACCCAGCUGCCCCAGUAUAAUUUCUAAUAUUGAAGAGUGGUAAAGGGUAGGCAAUGGGGAUUAAGUGGCUUGCUCAGCCUACACAGCUAGGAAGUGUCUGAGGCCAAACUGGAAAUUAGGACCUCCCAACUCUGGGCCUGGCAUGCAACAAUUGCCACUUUAACAUAGGUUACCUAAGUACAGUUAUAAAAUGCACUUUUAACAUAAGAAACAUUGCUAUGAAUCUACUCAUAAGCAUCAAUAUAACCAUUUCUUUUACUGAGAAAAUAUACCACUGAGGUCUCACACCUUCCAAAAUGUAUCAGAAGGAACAUUCUAAAUGACUAAAUUUUUAUUUAAAAGAAUUUAAGAUCUUGAUCACAGUCCAGCAUUUUAUAAAUGCACACACACUCCCCUAUACCCAUGAGAAUUUAACACCAGCUUGUACCUCUUUUCUUUCUCUUGGGAUCCUAAGAUAAGAGGGUUGUGUGUGCAAGUGUGUGUGUGUGUGUGUGUGUGUGUGUGUGUGUGUGUGUGUGUGUGUGUGUGUGUGUGUGUGUGCAGCUAGAGGCCUCCAGGCUCUCUGGUACCUAGAAGACAUUUAUCCCACUCCCAACUAUGGAAAGGUCUCAGAAAAGUGAUGUCUCAAGGAGCAUAAAAUUGGAUUGGAGAAAGGGAAGUCAUUCUUUUUUUGCCUUGGAAGCAUGGUAAGCAGAAGAGGCUAGGUGAGCCCUGGUGUGCAUGUGGUGUGAUCCUGCAACGGGCCUGGGGGAGGCAGGCAGGAGAGUGCCAACCUGGGUAAGCACUGGCUAGGGGAGGAGAGUAUCAAAG
Molecule: non-coding RNA, 2605 nt
Organism: Monodelphis domestica (gray short-tailed opossum)
Lineage: Eukaryota; Metazoa; Chordata; Mammalia; Didelphimorphia; Didelphidae
Source: RefSeq, a predicted model, not a curated record